Molecule: non-coding RNA, 935 nt
Organism: Meleagris gallopavo (turkey)
Lineage: Eukaryota; Metazoa; Chordata; Aves; Galliformes; Phasianidae
Source: RefSeq, a predicted model, not a curated record
CAUAAAGCUGUAGAUUUUCUUUUUCGUCCUUACAGCACUGGUGAAAAGAACAAUGGAAUCCCUUCAGCAAACCACAGCCUUGGAAGUGCCACUGAAGGUUCCCUUGAAAGUGCUUCUUACCACUGGGAAAUCAUGGGGGUGUAUGACAGAAUUGCAGGAGAUGUAAAACAGUCAUCAGGGAUGUUAUUCAGUACCCGUACACCUCAUUGGCCCGUGCUGAUUCCUCACUGAAUCACUAGGCAACAGCGCUGCUGGAUCUUUCAUAAGCACCUAAUACUCUGCAUGUGAAUUUUUUUUACUUCAUUUUGUCUGUAGCCCUAGGCAACAGCAGUGAGAUAAAACUGGAUUUUACCAGUUCAUUGUGUUUCCUUUAGCCAAGGUAACCAGCAGGGAGCUGCUUUUGUUCAGAGCUAAACUGCUACAUGCAAGAAAUGAAGCAAGACAAUAUUAACCCUUUGGGAACAUGACAAAUAUAUUUGAGUUAAAUGGAUGUUUAGAUUAUAAUACUAAAUAUUUGGUGAAGUGCCUUUGUAAAAAUACAUAAAAUCUGGAAUUAGAAAGACACUAUUUGAACUGUACCAGCAGCUGCUUAACUGUUGCAUUCAGCUUAUUCUAUAAUUUGUGAGUAGAUGGCAGCUGCUGUAUGUCUUUUUCCAGAGACUUAGAAAAGAGUUCCUUACAAGUGAGUUUUACUUUACUUUGUAUUUAGAAUUUUAGAGUAAAAUGAAAACUGCAUUAAAUGUGUUAAAAAAAAAUAGCCAGAUUGAUGUCAAUUCUAUUAAUUUCGAACUCAGAUUGUACACUGUAGCUUUAGCAUACUUUUGAGGAGGUAUUUUAGUUUUCCCUGGUCUAUUAAUUUUAUUAUUGAUAUAAUGCUAAAUACAGCUUAGAUAAAUGUUGAGAUUCAGACUUACACUUUAAAGGAUUCAAGCUUC